GACGAACGCUGGCGGCGUGCCUAAUACAUGCAAGUAGAACGCUUAAGGAGGAGCUUGCUCUUCUGGAUGAGUUGCGAACGGGUGAGUAACGCGUAGGUAACCUGCCUGGUAGCGGGGGAUAACUAUUGGAAACGAUAGCUAAUACCGCAUAACAGUAGAUGUUGCAUGACAUUUACUUAAAAGGUGCAAUUGCAUCACUACCAGCUGGACCUGCGUUGUAUUAGCUAGUUGGUGGGGUAACGGCUCACCAAGGCGACGAUACAUAGCCGACCUGAGAGGGGGAUCGGCCACACUGGGAAUGAGACACGGCACAGACUCCUACGGGAGGCAGCAGUAGGGAAUCUUCGGCAAAGGACGGAAGUAUGAACGAGCAAAGGCGCGUGAGUGAAGAGGGGUUUCGGAUCGUAAAGAUCUGUUGUAAGAGAAGAACGAGUGUGAGAGUGGAAAGUGCACACUGUGACGGUAUCUUACCAGAAAGGGACGGCUAACUACGUG
Molecule: ribosomal RNA, 495 nt
Filed under: uncultured bacterium
Lineage: Bacteria
Description: partial 16S ribosomal RNA
Rfam family: Bacterial small subunit ribosomal RNA
Source: RNAcentral